Molecule: transfer RNA, 84 nt
Filed under: Avrainvillea mazei
Lineage: Eukaryota; Viridiplantae; Chlorophyta; Ulvophyceae; Bryopsidales; Dichotomosiphonaceae
Description: tRNA-Ser
Rfam family: tRNA
About the family: Transfer RNA (tRNA) molecules are approximately 80 nucleotides in length. Their secondary structure includes four short double-helical elements and three loops (D, anti-codon, and T loops). Further hydrogen bonds mediate the characteristic L-shaped molecular structure. tRNAs have two regions of fundamental functional importance: the anti-codon, which is responsible for specific mRNA codon recognition, and the 3' end, to which the tRNAs corresponding amino acid is attached (by aminoacyl-tRNA synthetases). tRNAs cope with the degeneracy of the genetic code in two manners: having more than one tRNA (with a specific anti-codon) for a particular amino acid; and 'wobble' base-pairing, i.e. permitting non-standard base-pairing at the 3rd anti-codon position.
Source: RNAcentral
GGAAAGGUGGCAGAGUGGUUUAAUGCAACGGUUUUGAAAACCGUCGUAACAAAGUUACCGGGGGUUCAAAUCCCUCCCUUUCCG